UACGGAGGGUGCGAGCGUUGUCCGGAAUCACUGGGCGUAAAGGGCGCGUAGGCGGUUCGUUAAGUCGUUGGUGAAAUCCCGGGGCUCAACUCCGGGGCUGCCGACGAGACUGGCGGGCUCGAGCACGGUAGAGGCAGAUGGAAUUCCCGGUGUAGCGGUGGAAUGCGUAGAUAUCGGGAAGAACACCAGUGGCGAAGGCGUUCUGCUGGGCCGUUGCUGACGCUGAGGCGCGACAGCGUGGGGAGCAAACAGGAUUAGAUACCCCCGUAGUCC
This 273-nucleotide ribosomal RNA is filed under the name uncultured bacterium. RNAcentral describes it as "partial 16S ribosomal RNA". It matches the Rfam family "Bacterial small subunit ribosomal RNA", at positions 524 to 796 of the family's 1533-position model. The record is from RNAcentral.